AAUAGAUACCCUGGUAGUCCACGCCGUAAACGAUGAGUGCUAAGUGUUAGAGGGUUUCCGCCCUUUAGUGCUGCAGCUAACGCAUUAAGCACUCCGCCUGGGGAGUACGGCCGCAAGGCUGAAACUCAAAGGAAUUGACGGGGGCCCGCACAAGCGGUGGAGCAUGUGGUUUAAUUCGAAGCAACGCGAAGAACCUUACCAGGUCUUGACAUCCUCUGACAACCCUAGAGAUAGGGCUUUCCCCUUCGGGGGACAGAGUGACAGGUGGUGCAUGGUUGUCGUCAGCUCGUGUCGUGAGAUGUUGGGUUAAGUCCCGCAACGAGCGCAACCCUUGAUCUUAGUUGCCAGCAUUCAGUUGGACACUCUAAGGUGACUGCCGGUGACAAACCGGAGGAAGGUGGGGAUGACGUCAAAUCAUCAUGCCCCUUAUGACCUGGGCUACACACGUGCUACAAUGGAUGGUACAAAGGGCUGCAAACCUGCGAAGGUAAGCGAAUCCCAUAAAGCCAUUCUCAGUUCGGAUUGCAGG
Molecule: ribosomal RNA, 529 nt
Filed under: uncultured bacterium
Lineage: Bacteria
Description: bacterial SSU rRNA
Rfam family: Bacterial small subunit ribosomal RNA
Source: RNAcentral